CCUACGGGAGGCAGCAGUGGGGAAUAUUGCACAAUGGGGGAAACCCUGAUGCAGUGACGCCGCGUGAGUGAAGAAGUAAUUCGUUAUGUAAAGCUCUAUCAGCAGGGAAGAAAAUGACGGUACCUGAGUAAGAAGCCCCGGCUAACUACGUGCCAGCAGCCGCGGUAAUACGUAGGGGGCAAGCGUUAUCCGGAUUUACUGGGUGUAAAGGGAGCGUAGACGGCAGUGCAAGUCUGGAGUGAAAGGCGGGGGCUCAACCCCCGGACUGCUGUGGAAACUGUACGGCUGGAGUGCAGGAGAGGUAAGUGGAAUUCCUGGUGUAGCGGUGAAAUGCGUAGAUAUUAGGAGGAACACCAGUGGCGAAGGCGGCUUACUGGACUGUAACUGACGUUGAGGCUCGAAAGCGUGGGGAGCGAACAGGAUUAGAUACCCUUGUAGUC
This 440-nucleotide ribosomal RNA is filed under the name uncultured bacterium. Its description in RNAcentral is "partial 16S ribosomal RNA". It matches the Rfam family "Bacterial small subunit ribosomal RNA", at positions 338 to 795 of the family's 1533-position model. The record is from RNAcentral.